RNAcentral lists this ribosomal RNA (253 nucleotides) under uncultured bacterium. RNAcentral describes it as "partial 16S ribosomal RNA". It matches the Rfam family "Bacterial small subunit ribosomal RNA", at positions 524 to 776 of the family's 1533-position model. The record is from RNAcentral.
UACGUAGGCAGCGAGCGUUGUUCGGAAUUACUGGGCGUAAAGAGUGUGUAGGCGGUGUUCCCAGUCUGUUGUGAAAUCUCCCGGCUUAACUGGGAGGGUGCAGCGGAAACUAGAAUGCUAGAGGGUUGGAGAGGUAGCGUGAAUUCUCGGUGUAGCAGUGAAAUGCGUAGAUAUCGGGAGGAACACCGGUGGCGAAGGCGGCCUGCUGGGCAGUUGCUGACACUGAGGCGCGACAGCGUGGGGAGCAAACAGG